CCUACGGGAGGCAGCAGUGAGGAAUAUUGGUCAAUGGCCGGAAGGCUGAACCAGCCAAGCCGCGUGAGGGAGGAAGGCGCAGAGCGUCGCAGACCUCUUUUGCCGGGGGACAAAAGGCCGGACUCGUCCGGUCCUGAGGGUACCCGGCGAAAAAGCAUCGGCUAACUCCGUGCCAGCAGCCGCGGUAAUACGGAGGAUGCGAGCGUUAUCCGGAUUCAUUGGGUUUAAAGGGUGCGCAGGCGGGGCUUUAAGCCCGCGGUGAAAUCCCGGGGCUCAACCCCGGAGGUGCCGCGGAAACUGGGGGACUUGAGUGCGGCGGAGGCAGGCGGAAUGUGUGGUGUAGCGGUGAAAUGCAUAGAUAUCACGCAGAACCCCGAUUGCGAAGGCAGCAUGCCGGCUUCCGACUGACGCUGAAGCACGAAAGCGUGGGGAGCGAACAGGAUUAGAUACCCGAGUAGUC
Molecule: ribosomal RNA, 460 nt
Filed under: uncultured bacterium
Lineage: Bacteria
Description: partial 16S ribosomal RNA
Rfam family: Bacterial small subunit ribosomal RNA
Source: RNAcentral